This 323-nucleotide long non-coding RNA is filed under the name Mytilus galloprovincialis (Mediterranean mussel). Lineage: Eukaryota; Metazoa; Mollusca; Bivalvia; Mytilida; Mytilidae. The record is from RNAcentral.
AAUUAUUUAGUUUAUGUAUUGCUUAUUUGAAAACAAUAAUAAAAAAUAUAGGUAACCGAUGAGUAGAAAAAGAUAUUUCAAUUCUAGUGCCAAAAAAUAGCAUUUUUGCACCAAAGGAAGAUAAUUUGGAGCUUUUUCAAUGAGAUAAACAUUUUAAAAGUCAUCUGGGGCCAAACCGAAUCGAUUUUUUUUUUUUUUUUUUGUAUCAUAUCAUAAAGUAUUAACUAAUAGUGUAAUUAAUAAAAUUUGUUAUUAUGUUUUGCUGAAAUUUUUGUACCCGCGAGCCUCCUUAAGUUAUGUUACCUCCCCUUGAUUACUGCUGC